GGAGAUGAGACAUCUCGCAUAAAUCAGUGCAGCAAGGUCUGCCUGGAUCCCAAAUGGUGCCUCACCUACCCCCCCUUAAGGGGCUUGAGAACCUAUUGGCUGCAUAUGGUGAUAGCAGUGGGGCAACCACAAUUACUGAGCCUGUGGAUCGCGAACCACGACCUCUCCAAGCAACUCAGCUGCAAGAUGCCGCCCACGCAAGCUCGUCUUUAUAAGCAGCCCUUUGGAGACGGCCUUCCUGCGUCAGAGCCGAGAGAGGCGGCGUUUCCUGUACUCGGGAGCCACGGCAGUGCCCCUUCCCGGCUGCCGAGAUGCCCAGUAUGCAUUCCUGGACCCCAACCAUGCCACAGAGAGCCUCGUUCCGCAGUGAAAUUCCGGCUUCUGCAUCCCUCCACCAUUUAGACCUGAGAACUUGCCCUCUCAGCCUACUCAGAGAAGUCCUAUAGAGAAGAGAGGAGGACCUUGCAAAAACCCCUUGCGUUCCUCCGGAGACCAAGAGCUCUAGGAAGUCUACAGGAGGCUCGAGAACAAUUCAGCUCCUCUGGGAGAAGAACCCAAUCGGCUGGAAGGCGGACACCUCAGUAUUUGAGGUAAGUUCGAAGUCUUGCCCCUUUGGCCUAAACUCUACACUUUCUUGCCAGGCCCACCCUGAGCAGACCCUUUGCAUCUC
RNAcentral lists this long non-coding RNA (670 nucleotides) under Ursus americanus (American black bear). RNAcentral's name for it is "lncRNA (ENSUAMG00000004796.1)". Lineage: Eukaryota; Metazoa; Chordata; Mammalia; Carnivora; Ursidae. The record is from RNAcentral.